GUCAUGAGGGCAGAGGCCUCAUGAAUGAGAUUAAUGCCCUCAUAAAAGAGGCCUGAGAGAGCUCCCUUGCCUCUUCUGCCCUGUGAGGAUACAUGGAGAAGUCUGCAGCCUGGAAGAGGGCCCUCACCUGACCAUACUGGCACCUUGAUCUUGGACUUCCAGCCUCCAAAACUGGCAAGAGGUUCUGUAAAGCAGAGGGAAGAAGGAGUCCACUGAGAGUUCCCAGCUGCAGCUGUUUUCUCCUAAAAUACUUCAAAUUAGUGUGCUGUUAUGAGGAUUAAUUUUCAUUCCAGGACUACACGGUGUAAUCUACAUUAGAAAUGUCUAAUCUUCCUAUUGA
Molecule: non-coding RNA, 340 nt
Organism: Equus caballus (horse)
Lineage: Eukaryota; Metazoa; Chordata; Mammalia; Perissodactyla; Equidae
Source: RefSeq, a predicted model, not a curated record